RNAcentral lists this ribosomal RNA (252 nucleotides) under uncultured bacterium. Its description in RNAcentral is "partial 16S ribosomal RNA". It matches the Rfam family "Bacterial small subunit ribosomal RNA", at positions 524 to 776 of the family's 1533-position model. The record is from RNAcentral.
UACGGAGGAUGCGAGCGUUAUCCGGAUUUAUUGGGUUUAAAGGGUGCGUAGGCGGCCUGCCAAGUCAGCGGUAAAAUUGCGGGGCUCAACCCCGUACAGCCGUUGAAACUGCCGGGCUCGAGUGGGCGAGAAGUAUGCGGAAUGCGUGGUGUAGCGGUGAAAUGCAUAGAUAUCACGCAGAACCCCGAUUGCGAAGGCAGCAUACCGGCGCCCUACUGACGCUGAGGCACGAAAGUGCGGGGAUCAAGCAGG